This 870-nucleotide ribosomal RNA is filed under the name Paxillus gymnopus. Its description in RNAcentral is "eukaryotic LSU rRNA". It matches the Rfam family "Eukaryotic large subunit ribosomal RNA", at positions 67 to 915 of the family's 3401-position model. Lineage: Eukaryota; Fungi; Basidiomycota; Agaricomycetes; Boletales; Paxillaceae. The record is from RNAcentral.
AACAAGGAUUCCCCUAGUAACUGCGAGUGAAGGCCAAAAAGCUCAAAUUUUGAAUCUGGCGGUCUCCGCCGUCCGAGUUGUAAUCUAGAGAAGUGCUUUCCGCGCUGGACCGUGUACAAGUCUCCUGGAACGGAGCGUCAUAGAGGGUGAGAAUCCCGUCUCUGACACGGAUCCCCAGUGCUUUGUGAUGCGCUCUCGACGAGUCGAGUUGUUUGGGAAUGCAGCUCAAAUUGGGUGGUAAAUUCCAUCUAAAGCUAAAUAUAGGCGAGAGACCGAUAGCGAACAAGUACCGUGAGGGAAAGAUGAAAAGAACUUUGGAAAGAGAGUUAAACAGUACGUGAAAUUGCUGAAAGGGAAACGCUUGAAGUCAGUCGCGUCGGCUUGAGAUCAGCCUUGCUCUUUUGCGUGGUGUAUUCUCUUGUCGACGGGUCAGCAUCAAUUUUGGCUGCCGGAUAAAGGCAGAGGGAAUGUGGCACCUUUCGAGGUGUGUUAUAGCCCUUUGUUGUAUACGGUGGCUGGGAUUGAGGAACUCAGUACGACCUUCGGGUUUGGGGCUUCGGCCUACAUUCGUGCUUAGGAUGCUGGCAUAAUGGCUUUAAGCGACCCGUCUUGAAACACGGACCAAGGAGUCUAACAUGCCCGCGAGUGUUUGGGUGUUUAAAACCCGAGCGCGUAAUGAAAGUGAAAGUUGGGAUCCCUGUCGUGGGGAGCACCGACGCCCGGACCAGAACUUCUGUGACGGAUCUGCGGUAGAGCGUGUAUGUUGGGACCCGAAAGAUGGUGAACUAUGCCUGAAUAGGGCGAAGCCAGAGGAAACUCUGGUGGAGGCUCGUAGCGAUUCUGACGUGCAAAUCGAUCGUCGAAUUUGGG